Molecule: ribosomal RNA, 253 nt
Filed under: uncultured bacterium
Lineage: Bacteria
Description: partial 16S ribosomal RNA
Rfam family: Bacterial small subunit ribosomal RNA
Source: RNAcentral
UACGUAGGGACCAAGCGUUGUUCGGAUUUACUGGGCGUAAAGGGCGCGUAGGCGGCGUGGUAAGUCACUUGUGAAAUCUCUGAGCUUAACUCAGAACGGCCAAGUGAUACUGCUGUGCUAGAGUGCAGAAGGGGCAAUCGGAAUUCUUGGUGUAGCGGUGAAAUGCGUAGAUAUCAGGAGGAACACCGGUGGCGAAGGCGGCUUUCUGGACAGUAACUGACGCUGAGGCGCGAAAGCCGGGGGAGCAAACAGG